ACUUGGGUUGGCAGCCAGGGGCCCUUGUCAUGGGAACCCGCUGCCCGGGAAAUGGGCCUCCAUGGUUUGGCCCAGAAAUGGGUCAGAACGAGAGGCUUUCAGAGGAAAAAGAAGACGGUGAGUCAAAAGGAAAGUGGGGCCUCCUCCUGCUAGCUCAGCCCUGGGCCUCAGGGUUCCUGGGACACCAGUGGGCACCAUUCAACCCCAGCUUCACAACCUGCGAGCAUCUCAGAACCAGGAGCGUGCCGCCACUCCUGGACCUGCUCCAGGGCCAGCCUCCCUGUGGGGACAAUUGAAGAAGCCGCAGUCUGAGGGCCAUGCCCGGACAGAGGGUUCCCAGCCUGUCCCAGGGUCCCUGCUGCCCACCCCCUAGAGCCCCAGGGAAGAGGAUCCCCCUUUCAGGGGCCCCUGCAAAGAGACAGGGCCCGCGGGACUCGGGCAGGGAAGGAAGGGCAGGGGUCUGGCAUCCUCCCUCAGCCCACGUGCCUGGCACAAGGCCCUGAAUAGCUGGAUCCCCCUGCUCCUCACCUGGCUUUCAUGACGUCCAUUGACUCCAGGUGAGCUCAGCCAGCCAGCCCCUGCUUCUGUCCGAACUCCCACAACCCAUCUUCCUUUCACAGGCCCUGGGAGGCAGCGGGCUGUCCUGGGUGGGAGCUGCUGUGCCCAGCCCUGCCCCAGGUCCCCUGCCCGUGAGCACCUUCCUGGGUGAUUUCACCCCUGCCCUCUGGCCGGACACCACCCAGAGCCCCGAGUCCUGAGCCCACUGGAGACUUCCACAGGCCUGGCCUCUGCAGCCCCCAACCCCUGCCUGGUUCUCACCAGAGGGAGGCCAUUGCUGGGGGGCCUCAUGGCACAUCUGUGCCUCCGCUUCUUAGAAAGCCCCCCAGCCUGGUGUCCUCCCGAGCACAGUGACAGAGGGUAGCACCCCACCAGCUCAUCAUUGACCCUGGGGGUGAGACCAUGCUUGGUACAGACUGUGCGGGGUGGCCACCCCACCCCAGGAGCCUAGGAAAUGAAAACCUCCCCAGCUGCAGACCCCAGGAGGAGAUGCCCGCCCACUGCUGUUCGGACGAGCCCUCCUGCCAGCCUGGGUGGCCGGGCUGGUCCAGGAUUCCAAAUCCCCAGCCUACAACCCGCCCCUAAGGGCAUCCCGACAGAGGAGCUGGUAUCCGAGUGGAAUAGUGUCUGGGGUGAGGCAGAUCCAGGUGUGGGGCACAGGCACCCGGAGGAGGCUCCCGCAGGGCCGGGAGCUCUCCCUGGGUGGGAUGUGGACUGGGCAGGAAGGGAGGCAGGGAUGGAGGGGCUGGCUGGCCUCUAGGUGCCCCUGAGGAAGCUGAAGGCUGCCGCCUGCUGUCACUGCCCUCAUGCUGCCCCUCAGCUGGGGUUCCCUGGGCCACCUGCUGGCCUCUGUACACCCACCUUCCCCCAGGGGCUCCCUGAAUCCCCGCCUCACCCUCUUGGUGAGAAUAAAGGGUGCGCUGGCUCCCUCUGCUGCCUUCCCUCCCACUCCUGCAGGAGCCGGUUGCUUGGGAGCACAGCCACCAGGGGGCCUUCUGGGCAAGUGCCUGGACUCUCUGCUCAGGCCAACACUUGGGGCCGACAGGUGGACAGCUAGGCUCUGACCCUCUCUCCCUAAGGCGGCACUCUGGGGCUGGGUGCCCCCCACCCCUGAAGCCCCAGGUGCCAUCGUCCAGAAGGAGGUUAAAUGAAGAUGGACAUGCGGCCCCUAUCACCCUGCCCUCAUCCCACGCAGGUUCCCAGCUCCCUGCGCUCACCAUCCUCCAUUUGGCGCACCAGUGCACCAAAGGGAAACUGAGGCGCCCCGCUGAGGGCCAGCCUAAGGCCACAGCCAGGCAGUUGGGGUCUGGGGGGACUCUCCAGCCUGGGUGGGCUUCAGCUACAGACACGUACUGCUUUAGGACAAGCCAUGAGCUCUAAGCAGACCCAACCCCUUUCCCCAAGUCUGCCCCCAUCAUCUCUCCUCAGGGUCCCAUUUGUCCCAAAUGGCUUUGUCCUCCCCAUUCAGGGCCACCCCUGUCCAUCCAGGAGCCUGAGGUCCAGCCAUCUCUGGACUCCCUACCCCCAGGAACCACUAAGGGGCUUCUGAACCCAACCCAUCCCUCCUCCACAGCCUUGGUGGAAAGACAGGUCUAACCUUCUUAGCCUGUCCGCAUCAGGCCCUGCCACUCCCUGGACCCCGGAAAUCCCUCUCCCCAGCCCAGUCUUGGCAAUCUGACCACCAAGUUGGGUCACCACUCUGGGCCUUCAGCUGAAGAUCCCCCUCCCCCUGCCUCCUUGCUCCUUGGUGGGGGGUUGGGGCAGAUCAAGACCCAGCUCCUGGCACUCAGGGCCCAUGCCACCUCUUUGCCCUCACCUGGCACCCCUAUUCUACUCGCUUGUAUGCAGCCUGGGCCCCCCUCCUGGCACAUCCCUUCCCCGACAUACUCUGGCGGGGCCCAGGAGCCUGUGUGGGCCCCAUAACACACCCACAACCAAGGCCUGCAGCCUGUUCCUUCCUGUCUUCUGGCCCAGGUGGACGCAGGGCAGGGAUGAAGGCUGUGGGUGCCCAUGGCCAGGUGUCUGCAGAUGCCUGCUCCCAGCCCUUUCUAUCAGGCCCAGGAUGGGGUCUUUGAGAGAGGAACAGGAGCAUCAACUCCAAACUGGCCUGGCCCUGCGCUACACUCCUCCCCUCCCCUGGGGUGGAAGUGUUGGUGGGGGGAGACCUGGAUGAGAAGUUUGGGGGUGGUCCUGCCUCUGUGCAAAAAUAAAGCCUCUCUCCCAGUG
Camelus dromedarius (Arabian camel) is the source of this 2784-nucleotide long non-coding RNA. RefSeq lists it as uncharacterized. The transcript is spliced from 2 exons. The record is from RefSeq and is a predicted model, not a curated record. NCBI's taxonomy places the organism in Eukaryota, Metazoa, Chordata, Mammalia, Artiodactyla, Camelidae.